CAGAGAGGACAGGUGGGGGCUCAAGCUCUUGGAACCAAGGACAGAGGAAGUUCCAGCAAAUGCCUGGAUAAUUGAAGUCCCCUUCAUUACAACAUCGUAACUCUGUGCCAAGCUCUGUGCACACCUCUAGGCUUUAUGCCUAAGAAAAAGAAGCAGUUCCUGCUUUCAAGGAGCUUACAAGCAAUGGAGAAAAACUACACAUAAAAGGAUGAUGAAAGGGAUGACCCAGAGGGGAAUAUUGUUCUAUGGCAGUGCAGAGGAGCCAAUGGAAAAUGCAUGUGAAGAAGUCUUCUCUUGAAUUACAGCUUUGAGAGACACAAAGGCAGGGACGUCCUGCUUCUAGCCUACAUUGGACUCAAAUUAUCAGUGGAACAGCAUCAAUUGAUUUUAAAAGGGACUCACCUAACCUGAGCUAAAAUUGAAGGCAUAAAAUCAUCAUUGUUCCUAAUGAGGGGGUAGCUGCAGCUUGUGCUGUGUAGCAUUGCAUAUACUUGGCCACAGAAACGGAAGAUAACAUGAGGAAAAGGCACCGUCCACUCUCCUGACUGCCUUCCCACAUGGGAUGAUACUCUGGAAGAACAUGCUACUGUAUAUGCAGUUUAAAAAGAUGUAAGAAUCUCUGGUCGAGCUCCCAUCUCUAUCUCCCCUUGUGUAUUGGUAGUGCUUCAGAUAGUAGAAUCAGAAUUAUGUAAAGUAAUAGCAACUACAUUCCAUCUUCUGUUUAAAUAAAGUGAAUACUCAG
Molecule: long non-coding RNA, 742 nt
Organism: Antechinus flavipes (yellow-footed antechinus)
Lineage: Eukaryota; Metazoa; Chordata; Mammalia; Dasyuromorphia; Dasyuridae
Exons: 4
Source: RefSeq, a predicted model, not a curated record